GUGUGCCAAACUUAACCUCUAGACCACUGAGGCUGGCCCUGGAUGCUUUUGAAUUUAUUAAAAUGAGGGUAGAUUUUGAAAGGAGUCAAAUGUCCAACUAUAUGACAUUCUGGAAAAGGCAAAUCUCUAGAGACAGUAAAAGGAUCAGUGGUUGCCAGGGGUCUGGGGUGAGGGGGGUGGAGCACAGGGGAGUUUUCGGGCAGUGAAACCAUCCUGGAUGAUACUGUAAUGGGAGAGAUAUACCAUCACGCAUUUGUGAAAACCCACAGAAUAUACAACACCGAGAGGGAACCCUCAUGUCAAUUAUGGACUUUACAUAUGGAGAUCUUCUCCUUCAGCCAUACCUGCAGCUUCUAGAAGGCUCUAUAACUCCUGCUCCCCCCCCCCCCCAACCCCCAACCAAGGUCAUUCCUUCCUUUUCUGAAAAUCUUUUGGUAAAUAGGUUUAAAUCAUGUGCCAGCUCCAAACAAUUGUUGGUGGCUACUUAAAGUGUGACAAGAAGAAGAAUUCCUAGGCCUGCCCCAGCCAACGGGGACAUGUCACCCCAUGAGUGAACGAUGACGUCUGCCAUGGGUGGAGGAGGAGGGGGCUGCGGCAUCUGAGCUGUGUAUUUACCUCUUGCCAUUUAGCAAUUCCCAAGGCGCAGUCAUUUGGCACCUGGUGUCGUGUUCCACAGGGCUGCGCCUGGUCUCUCCAGUGGAACUGAGCUCCGCGGAGGCCCACGACACCCACAGCUGCAGGAAGUGCUCAGCUGAUGUUUCCCCGUUGUUUGGUGAACAGUGACUAUGGCAGAAGUGACAAUGUAUGACACGGACAGUGCCUGGAAACAGGCUCUGUAGGGGGUGUGGGGGGUUGGGGUGUGUGUAUGUCACCAUGGUUUUGGUGCAAAUGUGUGAAUUGUUUCACAUAAGUGGGUCUCACUAUGGCGACACAAGCUAAGCACAUUUUUGCCCGGGACCUCGCCUCUUUCCCUUCUCUCUGCAUGGGAUGCUGUCCCCCAGAUAUCCACAGUGGUCACUUCUCACCUUACUCAGGUCUCUGGUCACAUGUCACCUCUCCUGACUGCUCUCACUAUGAGGGCCACUCCGUCUCCAGCCCCCAUCCUUCGUACUUCCUAGCCUUGCUCACUGCUCUCAUUUCCCGGGGCUGCCAUAACAAACGACUGCAAACGGGGGGCUUGAAACAACACAAAUCUAUUCUCUCACAGUCUGGAGACCACAAGUCCAAAAUCAGUGUCAGCAGGCCACACUCUGAAGGCGCUGGGGCAGAAUCCUUCCUGAGCUCUUCCAGCUUCUGGUGGCGCCAGGUGUUCCUCAGCUUGUGGCCGCAUCCCUCUAGCCUCUGCCUCCAUCUUCACUCGGCCUUCUCCCUGUGUCUGUGUCUCCCUGCUUUCGUCUCUUAUAAGGACAGCAGUCAUCGGAUUUAGGGCCCACUCUAAAGUUAAUCCAGGACGAUCUCAUCUUGAGACCCUUACCUUAAUGAUGUCUUCAAAGAUUCUUUUUCCAAAUGAGGUUACACUCACAGAUUCCGGGUGUUAGGGCGUGGACACGUUUUUGGGGGGCCAUUACUCAACCCACUGCAUCCGCUGUCUGACACUGCAUUACUCGUUGAUCCGUUUGCAGCCUGUGGCGCCCACUAGGAGACAAGAGACAAGAGACCAGGGAUGGAGUCUGUCGUGUGCAGGGGUCUGUCUCCAAUGCCACACAGAACUAUAUCUACCAUGACACACCCUGAGCAGACACACAGUGAUGAGGAUGAAAGAGGUCCCUUCUCUUGCAGAGAUUACAGUCUGGUGGAAAACAAAACAAGACAGAUAAAAAUAAGAUAUCAACAAAUAUCAAUAUCAAAAAAUAAGGUAAGUAUAGAUCACACAGACUUGAGCCAUGGGGAAGAAACAGUGGCAAUAUUAACUCUAGAAAGUGGAAUUUAAGGAGUAUGCUUUAAUGAUACACAGAUGGCAUUAAACAAUUACAAGAGUUACAAUAAACAGGUAAGUCAUAUGCACUAACCAACAGAGAAGCAUAAUACAAAAAGCAAAAAUUCAGACAUACAAGGAAGAAACGGACAGGUAAGCAAUGAGACUGGGAAAUUUUAAACUCUUCUUUGUCUUCCUGUGUCAGAUCAAACAGUCAAAAAUAAGGAUGUAACAAUGUAACUAGAAAGUUAGAAUGAAUAGAUACAGAACUAAUUUACAAAGGAGAGUACAGCUUACCGACACCCUUACAAAGACGACUACACCAACUUUUCUAGAGCCGUUGAAAUAUUUACAAAAAUUGCAUACAAACCAGGCACAGUCUCAAUCAACUAGGAAAAUUUAGUACACAUGUUGUAAGUGAGCAAAAGUGAGGCCAUCUUGUUUCGCUAAAUGGCCCCAGCCCCUCCUCUGUGUGACUACUCGCUGCUCUGCACGUACUCUAAAAAACUCCCCUGCUCUCCUAAUUUAUGGCCUCUGGCUUAUGUAUGUACUCCUGGAUAGCUUGAUAAAUUAAAACUUUGUUCUAUGAGUUUCUCUCCGGGAACAGGCUGACCACAGGCGGGAAACACACCUACAAGGCAUCCAUCACAGCGGACAGAAGAAUGGAACAGUAAAAGACCCUGGAGUCCGUCAUGCCUGAAAGAAAUGCCCUCCUCGUGGCCCAUUUUCCCUAUCUAACUGCCUCAAGAUUCUGUAAUCCUUGAAGAUAUAUAUAUUUUUUGAGACGUUACUCUGCCGUCUUCCAGAUUAUACCAACUAAUAGAAUUAAAACGUCCUUUCUCCUUCUCUAA
This is a non-coding RNA of Equus caballus (horse), 2766 nucleotides long. Lineage: Eukaryota; Metazoa; Chordata; Mammalia; Perissodactyla; Equidae. The record is from RefSeq and is a predicted model, not a curated record.